Molecule: long non-coding RNA, 1090 nt
Filed under: Setaria viridis
Lineage: Eukaryota; Viridiplantae; Streptophyta; Magnoliopsida; Poales; Poaceae
Description: long non-coding RNA (SVIR_LNC010041)
Source: RNAcentral
UCUCAUUGCGCAAUCAAAUGUGCGGGUCGACAUCAAAUGUCAGUUUCAGGCGUGGCUGACUACUGGCUGUGAGCCUGCGGUAGUGUACCCAAGUUGCGUGUUGACGCGGUUGAUGGAUGGAUUUUUCCUUGCUUUUCUUUGCAUGGUUAAGCCAUAUUCUUCCAUUGACAUCAACCAACAUUCAGUUGUUUUCUGAUAUAUAUACUCUCUGUGCAUGGUUUUGUCUGUUGUUUCAACUAGAAGGUCAGCAUGCUACGGUUGAAUAAUUUGGGUCACCUGAAUUGUAGGUAGCAGCCCUUGAAUGGCUGGCAAUGGCAAUCAUCAAUCAACAAGACCCUGUGCCACAACUGACAGCCAAUCACAAGUACUCGCUAAUUCAUUCAUACUAUUAUUAUGCAUGCUAGCUACUGCACAGCUGACCUGACCUGAGCUUCCCUACGGACUGAUAUGCCAGUGCUCGCAUUGCACACUAGCUCGGCAUCCUAAUUACUAUCUAAACAUUCGAUGUGACAGGAAUUAAAUUUUAAUCCCAUGAACCAAACAGGUCCUGAACUCGCAUCAUGCGCUAGCUAGUAAUAAUCUAGGUAUGUAACAGAUCAUGUUAAUUAGCCUAGUUGUUAGUUUCAUCUCUCUCCUCACAACAAAUAUAUGGUAUUCAUCUCUCUCCUCACAACAGAUAUAUGGUAUCCUUACCAAAGCAUUGCAGCCGCACAUGCAGUAUAGUCUAAUCAUAGGCUACAUGCAUGAUAUAAUUUGUAUCGCAACAUGCAUUUUCUACAUCCCUUUUCUUUUCUCGUUUUCCCCCAGGCCAUGCUGAAGCUCUCGUUCCUCCACCUGUUGCUGAGCGUGGGUGGCCAGCGGAGGUGGCAUGCGGUGGCGCGGUUGGCCGUCGUCCCUGCCGUUGGAGGCCCUUGGCCGGCGGCCCGCGUGGUGGAGCCGGCGGACGCGUCGGUGCGGCCAUGACGGAGGAGGCCGCGCUCGGGCCAUGCCACUGCGGCGGGAGUGCGGCGGCGGCUGCUCGGACCGGCGGAUCCGGUGCCCUGGUGGUUGAAUCCGGCCUUUCCGGGCACUGAUCUGCGCAGAACAUCGG